RNAcentral lists this ribosomal RNA (403 nucleotides) under uncultured Oscillospiraceae bacterium. Its description in RNAcentral is "bacterial SSU rRNA". It matches the Rfam family "Bacterial small subunit ribosomal RNA", at positions 356 to 774 of the family's 1533-position model. The record is from RNAcentral. Lineage: Bacteria; Bacillati; Bacillota; Clostridia; Eubacteriales; Oscillospiraceae.
GGGGAAUAUUGGGCAAUGGACGAAAGUCUGACCCAGCAACGCCGCGUGAAGGAAGAAGGCUUUCGGGUUGUAAACUUCUUUGACAGGGGAAGAGUAGAAGACGGUACCCUGAAAACAAGCCACGGCUAACUACGUGCCAGCAGCCGCGGUAAUACGUAGGUGGCAAGCGUUAUCCGGAAUUACUGGGUGUAAAGGGCGCGUAGGCGGGUGUGCAAGUUAGAUGUGAAAACCUGGAGCUCAACUCCAGACUGGCAUCUAAAACUGUACAUCUUGAGUGUCAGAGGGGAAAGUGGAAGUCCUAGUGGAGCGGUAAAAUGCGUAGAGAUUAGGAGGAACAUCGGUGGCGAAGGCGACUUUCUGGCUGACAACUGACGCUGAGGCGCGAAAGCGUGGGGAGCGAACA